GGGGAUAACAGCCGGAAACGGCUGCUAAUACCGCAUAAGCGCACAGCUUCGCAUGAAGCGGUGUGAAAAGCCUUCGGGCGGUGUGGGAUGGGCCCGCGUCUGAUUAGCUGGUUGGCGGGGCAGCGGCCCACCAAGGCGACGAUCAGUAGCCGGCCUGAGAGGGUGGACGGCCACAUUGGGACUGAGACACGGCCCAAACUCCUACGGGAGGCAGCAGUGGGGAAUAUUGCACAAUGGGGGAAACCCUGAUGCAGCGACGCCGCGUGAGCGAAGAAGUAUUUCGGUAUGUAAAGCUCUAUCAGCAGGGAAGAAAAUGACGGUACCUGAGUAAGAAGCUCCGGCUAAAUACGUGCCAGCAGCCGCGGUAAUACGUAUGGAGCAAGCGUUAUCCGGAUUUACUGGGUGUAAAGGGAGCGCAGGCGGUCUGGCAAGUCUGAUGUGAAAUACCGGGGCUCAACUCCGGGACUGCAUUGGAAACUGUCAGACUGGAGUGUCGGAGAGGCAGGCGGAAUUCCUAGUGUAGCGGUGAAAUGCGUAGAUAUCAGGAGGAACACCAGUGGCGAAGGCGGCCUGCUGGACGAUGACUGACGCUGAGGCUCGAAAGCGUGGGGAGCAAACAGGAUUAGAUACCCUGGUAGUCCACGCCGUAAACGAUGAA
This 658-nucleotide ribosomal RNA is filed under the name uncultured bacterium. Its description in RNAcentral is "bacterial SSU rRNA". It matches the Rfam family "Bacterial small subunit ribosomal RNA", at positions 139 to 813 of the family's 1533-position model. The record is from RNAcentral.